RNAcentral lists this ribosomal RNA (198 nucleotides) under Triticum aestivum (bread wheat). RNAcentral's name for it is "partial small subunit ribosomal RNA". Lineage: Eukaryota; Viridiplantae; Streptophyta; Magnoliopsida; Poales; Poaceae. The record is from RNAcentral.
AUGUAUCAAGUCGAGGAGGUCAUCCACAACGGGGUUGUGGUUGCUAUCCUUGCCCACUUCACCAACCCCGUCAACAUGUUCUACCUCCUCGGCCGUGUGUUCUGGUGUGGCUGCAUGUUCAUAGCUUUCACCACCCAUAACAUCUUCACGGACUACGACAACGUCUUCCCCACCGAGGAGUGCAUGCACACUUUAUAA